GAUCCUGGCUCAAGAUGAACGCUAGCUACAGGCUUAACACAUGCAAGUCGAGGGGCAGCAUGAACUUAGCUUGCUAAAGUUUGAUGGCGACCGGCGCACGGGUGAGUAACACGUAUCCAACCUGCCGAUGGACUCGGGGAUAGCCUUUCGAAAGAAAGAUUAAUACCCGAUGGCAUAGUUCUUCCGCAUGGUAGAACUAUUAAAGAAUUUCGGUCAUCGAUGGGGAUGCGUUCCAUUAGGUUG
This 243-nucleotide ribosomal RNA is filed under the name uncultured bacterium. RNAcentral describes it as "partial 16S ribosomal RNA". It matches the Rfam family "Bacterial small subunit ribosomal RNA", at positions 15 to 248 of the family's 1533-position model. The record is from RNAcentral.